Molecule: RNA transcript, 2429 nt
Organism: Molossus molossus (Pallas's mastiff bat)
Lineage: Eukaryota; Metazoa; Chordata; Mammalia; Chiroptera; Molossidae
Gene: CHUK
Gene name: component of inhibitor of nuclear factor kappa B kinase complex
Exons: 21
Source: RefSeq, a predicted model, not a curated record
CUGCGGCCGGGCGCGGGCGGGCCCUGGGAGAUGCGGGAGCGGCUGGGUACCGGUGGCUUCGGAAACGUCUGUCUGUACCACCAUCGGGAACUUGAUCUCAAAAUAGCAAUUAAGUCUUGUCGCCUAGAGCUGAGUACCAAAAACAGAGAACGCUGGUGCCAUGAAAUCCAGAUCAUGAAAAAGUUGAACCACUCCAAUGUUGUAAAGGCCUGUGAUGUUCCUGAGGAAUUGAAUUUUUUGAUUAAUGAUGUGCCUCUUCUAGCAAUGGAAUACUGUUCUGGAGGAGAUCUCCGGAAGCUACUCAACAAACCAGAAAAUUGCUGCGGACUUAAAGAAAGCCAGAUACUUUCUUUACUGAAUGAUAUAGGGUCUGGGAUCCGAUAUUUGCAUGAAAACAAAAUUAUACAUCGUGAUCUAAAACCUGAAAACAUAGUUCUUCAGGAUGUUGGUGGAAAGAUUAUACAUAAAAUAAUUGAUCUGGGAUAUGCCAAAGAUGUUGAUCAAGGAAGUCUGUGUACAUCUUUUGUGGGAACAUUGCAGUAUCUGGCCCCAGAGCUUUUUGAGAAUAAGCCUUACACAGCCACUGUUGAUUAUUGGAGCUUUGGGACCAUGGUGUUUGAAUGUAUUGCUGGAUACAGGCCUUUUUUACAUCAUCUGCAGCCAUUUACCUGGCAUGAGAAGAUUAAGAAGAAGGAUCCAAAGUGUAUAUUUGCAUGUGAAGAGAUGACAGGAGAAGUUCGGUUUAGUAGUCAUUUACCUCAACCAAAUAGCCUUUGUAGUUUAAUAGUAGAACCCAUGGAAAACUGGCUACAGUUGAUGCUGAAUUGGGAUCCUCAGCAGAGAGGAGGACCUGUUGAUCUUACUUUGAAACAGCCAAGAUGUUUUGUAUUAAUGGAUCACAUUCUGAAUUUGAAGAUAGUACACAUCCUAAAUAUGACUUCUGCAAAGAUAAUUUCUUUUCUGUUACCACUUGAUGAAAGUCUUCAUUCACUGCAGUCUCGUAUUGAGCGUGAAACUGGAAUAAAUACUGCUUCUCAGGAGCUACUUUCAGAGACGGGAAUUUCUCUUGAUCCGCGGAAACCAGCCUCUCAAUGUGUUCUGGAUGGAGUAAGAGGCUGUGAUAGCUAUAUGGUUUAUUUGUUUGAUAAAAGUAAGACUGUAUAUGAAGGACCAUUUGCUUCUAGAAGUUUAUCUGACUGUGUAAAUUAUAUUGUACAGGACAGCAAAAUACAGCUUCCAAUUAUACAGCUGCGUAAAGUAUGGGCUGAAGCAGUGCACUAUGUGUCUGGGCUAAAAGAAGACUACAGCAGGCUCUUUCAGGGACAAAGAGCAGCAAUGUUAAGUCUUCUUAGAUAUAAUACUAACUUGACAAAAAUGAAGAAUGCUUUGAUCUCAGCGUCUCAGCAACUGAAAGCUAAACUGGAGUUUUUUCACAAAAGCAUUCAGCUUGACUUGGAAAGAUAUAGUGAGCAGAUGACUUAUGGAAUAUCCUCCGAAAAAAUGUUAAAAGCAUGGAAGGAAAUGGAAGAAAAGGCUAUCCACUAUGCUGAGGUCGGUGUCAUUGGAUACCUGGAGGAUCAGAUCAUGUGCUUACACACUGAAAUCAUGGAGCUACAGAAAAGCCCUUAUGGAAGACGUCAGGGAGACUUGAUGGAAUCUCUGGAACAGUGCGCCAUUGAUCUGUAUAAGCAGUUAAAGCACAGACCUUCAGAUCACUCCUACAGUGACAGCACGGAGAUGGUGAAGAUCAUUGUGCAUACUGUGCAGAGUCAGGACCGGGUUCUGAAGGAGCUGUUUGGUCAUCUGAGCAAGUUGUUGGGAUGUAAACAGAAGAUUAUUGAUCUACUGCCCAAGGUGGAAAUGGCCCUCAGUAACAUCAAAGAAGCUGACAGUACUGUAAUGUUUAUGCAGGGAAAGAGGCAGAAAGAAAUAUGGCAUCUCCUUAAAAUUGCCUGUACACAGAGUUCAGCUCGGUCUUUUGUAGGAUCCAGUCUUGAAAGUGCAGUAGCUACCCCUCAGGCAUCAGCAUGGCUGCCUCCAAAUUCAGCAGAACGUGAACAUCCGCUGUCAUGCGUGGUAACUCCUCAAGAUGGCAUAAGAUGUGCCGUAUCCAGAGCCAGUGGCUCUUUGCUAGCUUGUGUAUUGUCGCUUUUCUUACAACUCAUGGAGACCUCUACAGCACCAGCAUUUCCUGGAAGCUCUGCCCAUAAUUAGUUUUGCAGAAGUGCAGCCAUGUUACAUCACUGCUCAGGAGGUCAUGCAGUUUGCACAUUCUGUACUCUACUUUUAUGAGAGAAAAGCACAUGGCAGGAAGGCAAGCUGAUAACAGGGAGACUUUGGCACAAAUGAUAGAAGAAAAUUUGAAUUGUCUUGGCCAUUUAAGCACUAUUAUUCAUGAAGUAAAUGAGGAACAGAGCAGUAAGAUAGCG